Non-coding RNA from Pantherophis guttatus, 593 nucleotides. The record is from RefSeq and is a predicted model, not a curated record. Lineage: Eukaryota; Metazoa; Chordata; Lepidosauria; Squamata; Colubridae.
AGCAGGUGCUGUGAAUCCCGCGCCCAGGCCGCGCGAUCCGGGUGGGCCGCUAUUAAACACGAGGUCCAAAGGGAACCCCGUUAAAAAGACCCUGGAGGAACCUGACUGCCACCCAGUGACGCAAGAAAGAGCUCCUCCUUGCCCACCAUUGGCAACCCAAAUCUCAGUCAUGGUUGUCCCAAAGACAGAUCCUUGUCUGCAUACCUGGUUUUGUUAGGCAAAACAGGCCUUUCAUGAGAACAGCAGAGCUGAGGAGAUCCCUUGUUAAAAAGAUGGAAUGUCGGAGAUGAUCAACUAAUGGACAAUGCACAUUGGGAUUUCUCUAGGUUUCAAUUCUUUUGCUGCCCUUGAGCUGAUUGGGAGGCUUUUCUUAUUUGGUUUAGAUGGAAUUGCAGGACUUUGGGGCAAGAUGGGUUAAUUUGUGUCUGAUGAGAUUAGUCAAAGAGUUUGGCCCUGGUCAUGUCCAAGAAAACAGGAAAGGAAAGGGUACAUUUGAUUUGUUAGAUUUAUUUUCUCCAUUGCAUUUCAUUUAUAUGACAGUUAUACAAGUGUCCGGCAACAUGAUUUUAAACUAUUAAAUGUGAAGAAAUUAA